UUGGAGGGCAAGUCUGGUGCCAGCAGCCGCGGUAAUUCCAGCUCCAAUAGCGUAUAUUAAAGUUGUUGCAGUUAAAAAGCUCGUAGUUGAAUUUCGGGAUCAAUUUAUUGGUCGUGCUAUUGUACGUACUGGUAUUAUUGAUUCCUACCUUCUGACGAACCUUAAUGCCAUUAAUUUGGUGUCAUGGGGAAUCAGGACUGUUACUUUGAAAAAAUUAGAGUGUUUAAAGCAGGCUCACGCUUGAAUACAUUAGCAUGGAAUAACGAAAUAGGACGUUUGAUUCUAUUUUGUUGGUUUCUAGGAUCGACGUAAUGAUUAAUAGGGAUAGUUGGGGGCAUUAGUAUUCAAUUGUCAGAGGUGAAAUUCUUGGAUUUAUUGAAGACUAACUACUGCGAAAGCAUUUGCCAAGGAUGUUUUCAUUAAUCAAGAACGAAAGUUAGGGGAUCGAAGACGAUCAGAUACCGUCGUAGUCUUAACCAUAAACUAUGCCGACUAGGGAUCGGAUGAUGUUAAUUUUUUAAUGACUCAUUCGGCGCCUUACGGGAAACCAAAGUGUUUGGGUUC
Molecule: ribosomal RNA, 564 nt
Filed under: uncultured Glomeromycotina
Lineage: Eukaryota; Fungi; Glomeromycota
Description: SSU rRNA
Rfam family: Eukaryotic small subunit ribosomal RNA
Source: RNAcentral